UACGUAGGGUGCAAGCGUUAAUCGGAAUUACUGGGCGUAAAGCGUGCGCAGGCGGUUCGCUAAGACCGAUGUGAAAUCCCCGGGCUUAACCUGGGAACUGCAUUGGUGACUGGCGAGCUAGAGUGUGGCAGAGGGGGGUAGAAUUCCACGUGUAGCAGUGAAAUGCGUAGAGAUGUGGAGGAAUACCGAUGGCGAAGGCAGCCCCCUGGGCUAACACUGACGCUCAUGCACGAAAGCGUGGGGAGCAAACAGG
This 253-nucleotide ribosomal RNA is filed under the name uncultured bacterium. RNAcentral describes it as "partial 16S ribosomal RNA". It matches the Rfam family "Bacterial small subunit ribosomal RNA", at positions 524 to 776 of the family's 1533-position model. The record is from RNAcentral.